This 495-nucleotide ribosomal RNA is filed under the name uncultured bacterium. Its description in RNAcentral is "partial 16S ribosomal RNA". It matches the Rfam family "Bacterial small subunit ribosomal RNA", at positions 29 to 523 of the family's 1533-position model. The record is from RNAcentral.
AAUGAACGCUGGCGGCGUGCCUAACACAUGCAAGUCGAACGAGAAAGCCCGCAAGGGUGAGUACAGUGGCGCACGGGUGAGGAAUACAUAGGAAUCUGCCUCUGGGUGGAGAAUACCCUGGAGAAAUUCAGGUUAAUACUGCAUAAGCCUCGACAGAGGGAAAGGCGGCCUCAAGCUACCGCUGAGAGAUGAGCCUAGGGCCUAUUAGCUAGUUGGUGGGGUAAAAGCCUACCAAGGCGAAGAUGGGUAGCCGGCCUGGGAGGGGGUACGGCCAGACUGGAACCGAGACACGGCCAAGACUCCUAUGGGAGGCAGCAGUGGGGAAUAUUGGACAAUGGGCGGAAGCCUGAUCCAGCCAUGCCGCGUGUGUGAAGAAGGCCUUAUGGUUGUAAAGCACUUUAAGCGAGGAGGAGGCUACUUAGAUUAAUACUCUAGGAUAGUGGACGUUACUCGCAGAAUAAGCACCGGCUAACUCUGUGCCAGCAGCCGCCGUAA